Molecule: ribosomal RNA, 478 nt
Filed under: uncultured bacterium
Lineage: Bacteria
Description: partial 16S ribosomal RNA
Rfam family: Bacterial small subunit ribosomal RNA
Source: RNAcentral
GACGAGCGCUGGCGGCGUGCUUAACACAUGCAAGUCGAGCGAUGAAGCUCCUUCGGGAGUGGAUUAGCGGCGGACGGGUGAGUAACACGUGGGUAACCUGCCUCAUAGAGGGGAAUAGCCUUUCGAAAGGAAGAUUAAUUCCGCAUAAGAUUGUAGUGCCGCAUGGCAUAGCAAUUAAAGGAGUAAUCCGCUAUGAGAUGGACCCGCGUCGCAUUAGCUAGUUGGUGAGGUAACGGCUCACCAAGGCGACGAUGCGUAGCCGACCUGAGAGGGUGAUCGGCCACAUUGGGACUGAGACACGGCCCAGACUCCUACGGGAGGCAGCAGUGGGGAAUAUUGCACAAUGGGGGAAACCCUGAUGCAGCAACGCCGCGUGAGUGAUGACGGUCUUCGGAUUGUAAAACUCUGUCUUCAGGGACGAUAAUGACGGUACCUGAGGAGGAAGCCACGGCUAACUACGUGCCAGCAGCCGCGGUAA